UUCUCCGUGGCGCAAUCGGCUGGCGCGUUCGGCUGUUAACCGAAGGUUGGUGGUUCGAACCCACCCGGGGCGAAU
This 75-nucleotide transfer RNA is filed under the name Trichonephila inaurata madagascariensis. Its description in RNAcentral is "tRNA-Asn". It matches the Rfam family "tRNA". From Rfam's summary of the family: Transfer RNA (tRNA) molecules are approximately 80 nucleotides in length. The record is from RNAcentral. Lineage: Eukaryota; Metazoa; Arthropoda; Arachnida; Araneae; Nephilidae.